Molecule: long non-coding RNA, 2824 nt
Filed under: Sorghum bicolor (sorghum)
Lineage: Eukaryota; Viridiplantae; Streptophyta; Magnoliopsida; Poales; Poaceae
Description: long non-coding RNA (SBIC_LNC006123)
Source: RNAcentral
UUGUCAUCCAUUGUUUUUCUUCUUCCUCUCUCUCUCCGAUGGCUCCGCUCAGCCCGACGGCCAGCGUUCUGCUCCUCCGUCGCUGCGGGCUUGCGGCGUGCGCGUCGCUGAAACAUCCAAACCUUGCCGCGCUGCACGCACCCGCCCCGCAUUCUCGAGGGGCGGCGCGGUGCCGACUUCCUUAGCCAGUUAGCCGUCGGUUUCCUCCCCUCCCGGCGGACCAAUCCGAAAGAAACCCCACGCGCCGCUGCUCCGGCCGACCUCGUCGCCGCUUCCAUCUGUUCAGGUGACCUACUACCACGCGCGGCUCUUCCCAUCCCAUCCCAUCCCUCGGGCUCGAUUUUGCUGUGCGCCCAUCUCGAAUAGUUGAAAUGCCGAGUGGAUAACUCACGUUUGUCGAUUGCUACGGUCUGUUUUUGGUAACUCAUGGAGGUUUUUUUUGUUGGAAAUAUAUCUAAUGCAAACCACAACCUUCGUGAAAAUCUGUGUAAACUAUGGCAAAAAAGUUAUCUAAAUUUAUCAAAAAAAUCACACAUGUAGAUGAUACGAUGAUACACAAUUGUAAAAUAUCUUAUCCAAACUCGAAUUCGUUUGUGAGAUAUAAAAAUAACAAAUUUCUAGCACUUGAAAUUUGUUAUUUUUAUAUCUCACAAACAAAGUUGAGUUUGGACAAGAUAUUUUACAAUGUUGUGUAUCAUCAAAUCAUCUGCAUGUGUGAUUUAUUUAUGAAUUUAGACAACUUUUUUGCUAUGGUUUGCAAGGGUUUUCAUAGAGGUUGUGGUUUGCACUAGAUAUGCUUUUUUGUUUUUCCUCCUAGUAGCUGCAGUUGAUUCGCAUCGUAUUCCGGAGAAGCAAGUCCAAGGCGGUUACGGAACGUACGUUUUGGUAUUGGUCUAUCAGGUCCCCCCACCCCUGAAUGAUCACUACUUUAUGGUCUGAUCAGGCAAUAGGCAUGGCCUGAUAUGCUUGCUGGUUUGUCCUGCUACGGUUGUCUUAUUCUGCUCUGUCUUUGGUCCCCGUUUCACACACACUGAUUUUACGGCCACCCUAGCGAAUUUUCGGUAUCUUAAACGUUGCUUAUUAUAUAAUGAUGAUUGACGAAAUGUCAAUGGUUGGGCACUUGGGCUUGUUGUAGCACACACUAGCCUUUUUGUAUGGUGAAGAGUGGCGUCAUGGGCUCAUGGUUGAGUAUGUAAAUGUAAAGCUACAAAGCUAGUGGAUACGCUUUUAUCCGCUCUCUUCCCGCCAAAGGGUAGUUCCAGCCUACUAAUCAUUUUUUUUCAUGAAGCAUAUGGAAAAUACACUAAAAACUGGAAACUGAGGCCAGAAUGAUGAUUUAAGUGUUUUAUGUGUGAAUUCUGUCUGUGGUCCCUUAUAUAUUGACCUUCCUGUGUGACUGUAUAGUGUAUGUUCAUGUGGUCAUCCCUAAAUUGUGGUGUUAUUGUUGGAUAUUUCAUAUGGAUUUACAUUGUCCUAACAAAAUGACCUGUAGUGGUAUACUAGUGUGUACAUACUAAUGUGUAACCCCCACCCCCCUUCUGCUUAAGUCGUCAGAAGUUGUUUAUUUUUUUCCCACUCAUGAUUGAGAUAGAAAUAUUGGUUUUCCUUUGUAAUAACUGCAUGGACAAAUCUUAGACCAGCUAUUAGCCUAUUACUAAGACACCUGUUAUGCAUUGCCAAAAUCUUUGAAGUGCUUAGUUUGAAAUUUGAAGUUCCAUUGGUGCGAUAAAAAGGGGAACAAGAGUAGGGCAUGAGAUGUCCUCCCUAACAAGACCUGUUUUAGAUUUUGUUGACAAUCAAACCCUGACAGAGUGUUUCUCAUAGUUCCAAAUCCCAAGCUUUCAUUGUUAUGUCAUGAUAAUGCAUUAGUGAUGAAUUCCCAUUACUGAUGUUUUUACAGUCUCACCUUUAUUAAGUUCAUUUUGAGGAGAUUCCAUUGUUUUAUCUAGAACUCAUUAUCAAAUAGAAAAAAAAAGACCAGGAAAAUGCUUCUGGCAUGACUUUGCAUGAGACAGCAGCUUGUGCAAUAAUAGAUAUUUACAUAAUGUCAGAAAUGACCAGAACAAUUUGUAAAAAGGUCUUCCUCUUCAUAUCUCCACUUGCAUAUCCCGAUUUACAAUCUGCUGUUUUUGCCAGAUUGGAGGACUUGAAGCCUUUAUUGUUACGUUAGGUUAGAUUGAUGUUAUUCUGGUUCUACAUCUGAAGAAGGAAUAGGUGGUCACCAUCUCGAAUAACACUAAUGUCAUCUAUCUCAGCAUAGUCUCUACUGACCAAUUUUGUAGGGUGGAAACCUGGAAACUUCUGACCUGCAAAUGUUAGAAAAACUAUUAUAAAUUUCUGUGUGCAUCUCCUAUCUGCAUACUAUCAAAUAUGCUCCACAACCAAAUCAUAAUUUUAAAUCUUGAAAUGUUUUCUUACUUCCGAUUUCAAAAAUCUCCUCCAGUGAACCAGGCAGAUUGAUAAGCUUCCCAUUCUGUACUAAAGAACCUGUUGCAUUAUGAGGAUAUGCGUGAAUUGUAACUCUUUUGUUGGAUGAUUGUAUGUUACCACUAUCUUGAUUUUCUCUCGUAGUUAUGCCAUCUAAUGUAUUGUGGGAAGACCCCAGCUUCACUGUUUCAUGACUUGUUUGCCAAUAGCUUGCUGCAUCACAAUCUUCGGAUUUUAUCUGAACGCAGAACUCUUUGGUUCCUUUUUUGGUCUCGCAGUUUAUGUGAACCUCAUUACAUUUGUCUUCUCCGCCUGCCAUCCCAUCUGUCGCCCCAAAAUUGCCAUGGUCAUGACUGUUUCCUUGCUGUGGCAUCCUCAAUUGGAUUGUUUCUGCUGC